RNAcentral lists this ribosomal RNA (250 nucleotides) under uncultured bacterium. RNAcentral describes it as "partial 16S ribosomal RNA". It matches the Rfam family "Bacterial small subunit ribosomal RNA", at positions 524 to 773 of the family's 1533-position model. The record is from RNAcentral.
UACGUAGGCAGCAAGCGUUGUUCGGAAUUACUGGGCGUAAAGAGUGUGUAGGCGGUGCUCUAAGUUUGGUGUGAAAUCUCCCGGCUUAACCGGGAGGGUGCGCCGAAAACUGGAGUGCUAGAGUAUGGGAGAGGUAAGCGGAAUUCCUGGUGUAGCGGUGAAAUGCGUAGAUAUCAGGAGGAACACCUGUGGUGUAGACAGCUUACUGGACCAUUACUGACGCUGAGACACGAAAGCGUGGGUAGCAAAC